CGCAUGGUCGUGAUAUUAAAGGUGGGGAUCUUCGGACCUACCGCUUUGGGAGGGACCCGCGGCCCAUUAGCUUGUUGGUGAGGUAACGGCUCACCAAGGCUAUGACGGGUAGCCGAGCUGAGAGGCUGAUCGGCCACAAUGGGACUGAGACACGGCCCAUACUCCUACGGGAGGCAGCAGUGAGGAAUAUUGGACAAUGGGGGCAACCCUGAUCCAGCGACGCCGCGUGGAGGAUGAAGGUUUUCGGAUUGUAAACUCCUUUCAGUGGGGAAGAAUAAGGCAGACCAUAAUACGGUCGGCUGAUGACGGUACCCACAGAAGAACCCCCGGCUAAAUACGUGCCAGCAGCAGCGGUAAUACGUAUGGGGGAAGUGUUACUCGGAAUCACUGGGCGUAAAGGGCCCGUAGGCGGACCAAUAAGUCAGAUGUUAAAUCUCCCGGCUUAACCGGGAAGCAGCAUAUGAAACUGUCGGUCUUGAGUACAGGAGAGGAAAGCGGAAUUCCUGGUGGAGCGGUGAAAUGCGUAGAUAUCAGGAGGAACACCGGUGGCGAAGGCGGCUUUCUGGACUGUUACUGACGCUGAGGGGCGAAAGCAUGGGGAGCGAACGGGAUUAGAGACCCCGGUAGUCCAUGCCGUAAACGAUGGAUACUAGGUGUGGGGGGUAUCGACCCCCUCUGUGCCGGAGUUAACGCAUUAAGUAUCCCGCCUGGGGAGUACGUGCGCAAGCAUUAAACUCAAAGGAAUUGACGGGGGCCCGCACAAGCGGUGGAGCAUGUGGUUCAAUUCGAUGCUACGCGAGGAACCUUACCUAGACUUGACAUGGUAGUCAUAGCUCGUGAAAGCGAGUGUCAGUUCGGCUGGACUAUCACAGGUGCUGCAUGGCUGUCGUCAGCUCGUGCUGUGAAGUGUCGGGUUAAGUCCCAUAACGAGCGCAACCCCUACGUUUAGUUGCCAGCGGUUCGGCCGGGGACUCUAAACGGACUGCCUGCAGAAAGCAGGAGGAAGGUGGGGAUGACGUCAAGUCCUCAUGGCCUUUAUGUCUAGGGCUACACACGUGCUACAAUGGUAGGGACAAAGGGUCGCCAACCCGUAAGGGGGAGCUAAUCCCAAAAACCCUAUCCCAGUUCGGAUUGAGUGGCUGCAACUCGCCCUCAUGAAGGUGGAAUCGCUAGUAAUCGCAGAUCAGCAAUGCUGCGGUGAAUACGUUCUCGGGCCUUGUACACACCGCCCGUCACACCACGGAAGCUGGUAACACCCGAAGCCGGUGGCCUAACCAUUUACUUGGAGGGAGCUGUCGAAGGUGGGACUAGUGACUGGGGUGAAGUCGGAACAAGGUA
This 1338-nucleotide ribosomal RNA is filed under the name metagenome. RNAcentral's name for it is "bacterial SSU rRNA". It matches the Rfam family "Bacterial small subunit ribosomal RNA", at positions 187 to 1498 of the family's 1533-position model. The record is from RNAcentral.